Molecule: long non-coding RNA, 420 nt
Filed under: Phoenix dactylifera (date palm)
Lineage: Eukaryota; Viridiplantae; Streptophyta; Magnoliopsida; Arecales; Arecaceae
Description: long non-coding RNA (PDAC_LNC014190)
Source: RNAcentral
UUAAAACUGAUUUUCAUGCCUGGCGUUCAAUUUUAUCGGACAACUCGGGAGAUUUUUCCUUCAACUGGUAUCAGAGCCAGGUUGGCCGAUAGAAUUGGCCUAUAACAUUUAGAAUUAUGCAUGAUUUAAUUUUAAAUUUAGAUUAUAUCUAGAUUUAAUGAUAAAAUAUCAAUCUUGUGCUGAAUUAUAAGGUUGUCCUGUUAUAAGAUUAACCCCUUAUAGUGAAAAAGUUGUCCUAGCAUAAAAUGGAGAUUAAUUUGUAUCAUAAAAUAAAUAGUUUAUUUUUGUAAAAUUAUGCAUAAUUGAUGUUUAUGAAAUUUCAGUUUUAAAUUUAUUAUGACCACAAAAUUUAAAUAUAAAUUAUUUAUAUUUGGAAUAAAUUGACACCUUGAAUCCAUGAUCAUAAUACAUUUAAUUAAG